UGGGGAAUAUUGCACAAUGGGCGCAAGCCUGAUGCAGCCAUGCCGCGUGUAUGAAGAAGGCCUUCGGGUUGUAAAGUACUUUCAGCGGGGAGGAAGGGAGUAAAGUUAAUACCUUUGCUCAUUAACGUUACCCGCAGAAGAAGCACCGGCUAACUCCGUGCCAGCAGCCGCGGUAAUACGGAGGGUGCAAGCGUUAAUCGGAAUUACUGGGCGUAAAGCGCCCGCAGGCGGUUUGUUAAGUCAGAUGUGAAAUCCCCGGGCUCAACCUGGGAACUGCAUCUGAUACUGGCAAGCUUGAGUCUCGUAGAGGGGGGUAGAAUUCCAGGUGUAGCGGUGAAAUGCGUAGAGAUCUGGAGGAAUACCGGUGGCGAAGGCGGCCCCCUGGACGAAGACUGACGCUCAGGUGCGAAAGCGUGGGGAGCAAACAGG
RNAcentral lists this ribosomal RNA (429 nucleotides) under Chloroflexota bacterium. RNAcentral's name for it is "Chloroflexi bacterium partial 16S ribosomal RNA". It matches the Rfam family "Bacterial small subunit ribosomal RNA", at positions 355 to 776 of the family's 1533-position model. Lineage: Bacteria; Bacillati; Chloroflexota. The record is from RNAcentral.